GUGGGGAAUAUUGGACAAUGGGCGAAAGCCUGAUCCAGCCAUGCCGCGUGUGUGAAGAAGGUCUUCGGAUUGUAAAGCACUUUAAGUUGGGAGGAAGGGCAGUAAGUUAAUACCUUGCUGUUUUGACGUUACCGACAGAAUAAGCACCGGCUAACUUCGUGCCAGCAGCCGCGGUAAUACGAAGGGUGCAAGCGUUAAUCGGAAUUACUGGGCGUAAAGCGCGCGUAGGUGGUUUUGUAAGUUGGAGGUGAAAUCCCCGGGCUCAACCUGGGAACUGCCUCCAAAACUGCAUGACUAGAGUACGGUAGAGGGUAGUGGAAUUUCCUGUGUAGCGGUGAAAUGCGUAGAUAUAGGAAGGAACACCAGUGGCGAAGGCGACUACCUGGACUGAUACUAACACUGAGGUGCGAAAGCGUGGGGAGCAAACAGGAUUAGAUACCCUUGUAGUCC
RNAcentral lists this ribosomal RNA (450 nucleotides) under uncultured bacterium. RNAcentral describes it as "partial 16S ribosomal RNA". It matches the Rfam family "Bacterial small subunit ribosomal RNA", at positions 354 to 796 of the family's 1533-position model. The record is from RNAcentral.